This 318-nucleotide ribosomal RNA is filed under the name uncultured eukaryote. RNAcentral's name for it is "partial 18S ribosomal RNA". It matches the Rfam family "Eukaryotic small subunit ribosomal RNA", at positions 1470 to 1796 of the family's 1831-position model. The record is from RNAcentral.
CCCUUAGAUGUCCUGGGCCGCACGCGUGCUACACUGACGCAUACAGCGGGCACUUUCCAGUUCCGAGAGGCUACUGGUAAUCAUCAAUAUGCGUCGUGAUGGGGAUAGAUCUUUGGAAUUCUGGAUCUUGAACGAGGAAUGCCUAGUAAUCGCAGGUCAUUAGCCUGCGAUGAUUAAGUCCCUGCCCUUUGUACACACCGCCCGUCGCUACUACCGAUUUCGAGUGGUCAGGUGAAUCUUUCGGACUGUGGGCGCCCUUGAGGUGUUCGCGGAAAGUCAGGUAAAUCUUAUCACUUAGAGGAAGUAAAAGUCGUAACA